RNAcentral lists this ribosomal RNA (500 nucleotides) under uncultured bacterium. RNAcentral's name for it is "bacterial SSU rRNA". It matches the Rfam family "Bacterial small subunit ribosomal RNA", at positions 28 to 524 of the family's 1533-position model. The record is from RNAcentral.
GACGAACGCUGGCGGCGUGCUUAACACAUGCAAGUCGAGCGGUAAGGCCCUUUCGGGGGUACACGAGCGGCGAACGGGUGAGUAACACGUGGGUGACCUGCCCUCAGCUCUGGGAUAAGCCUGGGAAACUGGGUCUAAUACUGGAUAUGACUCCACGGUGCAUGUCGUGGGGUGGAAAGCCUUGUGCGGCUGAGGAUGGGCCCGCGGCCUAUCAGCUUGUUGGUGGGGNGAUGGCCUACCAAGGCGACGACGGGUAGCCGGCCUGAGAGGGCGACCGGCCACACUGGGACUGAGACACGGCCCAGACUCCUACGGGAGGCAGCAGUGGGGAAUCUUGCGCAAUGGGCGAAAGCCUGACGCAGCAACGCCGCGUGGAGGAUGAAGGCCCUUGGGUGUAAACUCCUGUCGGUUGGGAAGAAAUCGUUCGGGCUCAUACCUCCGAACGUUACUGUACCAGCAAAGGAAGCCCCGGCUAACUCUGUGCCAGCCGCCGCCGUAAU